AACGAACGCUGGCGGCAUGCCUAACACAUGCCAGUCGAACGAGACCUGCGGGUCUAGUGGCGCACGGGGGCGUGACGCGUGGGAACCUGCCCUGAGGUUCGGAAUAACUCGCCGAAAGGGGUGCUAAUACCGGAUAAUGUCUUCGGACCAAAGAUUUAUCGCCCUUGGAUGGGCCCGCGUUGGAUUAGCUAGUUGGUAGGGUAAACGCCUACCAAGGCGACGAGCCAUAGCUGGUCUGAGAGGAUGAUCAGCCACACUGGGACUGAGACACGGCCCAGACUCCUACGGGAGGCAGCAGUGGCGAAUAUUGGACAAUGGGCGAAAGCCUGAUCCAGCACUGCCGCGUGAGUGAUGAAGGCCUUAGGGUUGUAAAGCUAUUUUACCCGGGAUGAUAAUGACAGUACCGGGAGAAUAAGCACCGGCUAACUCCGUG
This 433-nucleotide ribosomal RNA is filed under the name uncultured bacterium. Its description in RNAcentral is "partial 16S ribosomal RNA". It matches the Rfam family "Bacterial small subunit ribosomal RNA", at positions 29 to 507 of the family's 1533-position model. The record is from RNAcentral.